UACUCCUACGGGGGGCAGCAGUGGGGAAUAUUGGGCAAUGGGUGCAAGCCUGACCCAGCAACGCCGCGUGAAGGAAGAAGGCUUUCGGGUUGUAAACUUCUUUUAUCAGGGACGAAGCAAGUGACGGUACCUGAUGAAUAAGCCACGGCUAACUACGUGCCAGCAGCCGCGGUAAUACGUAGGUGGCAAGCGUUAUCCGGAUUUACUGGGUGCAAAGGGCGUGUAGGCGGGAGUGCAAGUCAGAUGUGAAAACU
RNAcentral lists this ribosomal RNA (254 nucleotides) under uncultured bacterium. RNAcentral's name for it is "partial 16S ribosomal RNA". It matches the Rfam family "Bacterial small subunit ribosomal RNA", at positions 334 to 602 of the family's 1533-position model. The record is from RNAcentral.